GAUGAACGCUGGCGGCGUGCCUAAUACAUGCAAGUCGAGCGAACGGACGAGAAGCUUGCUUCUCUGAUGUUAGCGGCGGACGGGUGAGUAACACGUGGAUAACCUACCUAUAAGACUGGGAUAACUUCGGGAAACCGGAGCUAAUACCGGAUGAUAUUUUGAACCGCAUGGUUCAAAAGUGAAAGACGGUCUUGCUGUCACUUAUAGAUGGAUCCGCGCUGCAUUAGCUAGUUGGUAAUGUAACGGCUUACCAAGGCAACGAUGCAUAGCCGACCUGAGAGGGUGAUCGGCCACACUGGAACUGAGACACGGUCCAGACUCCUACGGGAGGCAGCAGUAGGGAAUCUUCCGCAAUGGGCGAAAGCCUGACGGAGCAACGCCGCGUGAGUGAUGAAGGUCUUCGGAUCGUAAAACUCUGUUAUUAGGGAAGAACAUAUGUGUAAGUAACUGUGCACGUCUUGACGGUACCUAAUCAGAAAGCCACGGCUAACUACGUG
RNAcentral lists this ribosomal RNA (497 nucleotides) under uncultured bacterium. RNAcentral describes it as "partial 16S ribosomal RNA". It matches the Rfam family "Bacterial small subunit ribosomal RNA", at positions 28 to 507 of the family's 1533-position model. The record is from RNAcentral.